RNAcentral lists this ribosomal RNA (201 nucleotides) under uncultured bacterium. RNAcentral describes it as "partial 16S ribosomal RNA". It matches the Rfam family "Bacterial small subunit ribosomal RNA", at positions 309 to 526 of the family's 1533-position model. The record is from RNAcentral.
CACACUGGGACUGAGACACGGCCCAGACUCCUACGGGAGGCAGCAGUGGGGAAUAUUGCGCAAUGGGCGAAAGCCUGACGCAGCAACGCCGCGUGGAGGACGAAGGCCUUUUGGUUGUAAACUUCCUUUCAGCAGGAACGAAAAUGACGGUACCUGCAGAAGAAGCCCCGGCCAACUACGUGCCAGCCGCCGCCGUAAGAC